Molecule: ribosomal RNA, 495 nt
Filed under: uncultured bacterium
Lineage: Bacteria
Description: partial 16S ribosomal RNA
Rfam family: Bacterial small subunit ribosomal RNA
Source: RNAcentral
GACGAACGCUGGCGGCGUGCCUAAUACAUGCAAGUAGAACGCUGAAGGAGGAGCUUGCUUCUCCGGAUGAGUUGCGAACGGGUGAGUAACGCGUAGGUAACCUGCCUGGUAGCGGGGGAUAACUAUUGGAAACGAUAGCUAAUACCGCAUAACAGUAGAUAUUGCAUGAUAUCUGCUUGAAGGGUGCAAUUGCAUCACUACCAGAUGGACCUGCGCUGUAUUAGCUAGUUGGUGAGGUAACGGCUCACCAAGGCGACGAUACAUAGCCGACCUGAGAGGGUGAUCGGCCACACUGGGACUGAGGCACGGCCCAGACUCCUACGGGAGGCAGCAGUAGGGAAUCUUCGGCAAUGGACGGAAGUCUGACCGAGCAACGCCGCGUGAGUGAAGAAGGUUGUCGGAUCGUAAAGCUCUGUUGUAAGAGAAGAACGAGUGUGAGAGUGGAAAGUUCACACUGUGACGGUAUCUUACCAGAAAGGGACGGCUAACUACGUG